UUUAUGGAGAGUUUGAUCCUGGCUCAGGAUGAACGCUGGCGGCGUGCCUAAUACAUGCAAGUCGAGCGAACGGAUGAGAAGCUUGCUUCUCUGAUGUUAGCGGCGGACGGGUGAGUAACACGUGGAUAACCUACCUAUAAGACUGGGAUAACUUCGGGAAACCGGAGCUAAUACCGGAUAAUAUUUUGAACCGCAUGGUUCAAAAGUGAAAGACGGUCUUGCUGUCACUUAUAGAUGGAUCCGCGCUGCAUUAGCUAGUUGGUAAGGUAACGGCUUACCAAGGCAACGAUGCAUAGCCGACCUGAGAGGGUGAUCGGCCACACUGGAACUGAGACACGGUCCAGACUCCUACGGGAGGCAGCAGUAGGGAAUCUUCCGCAAUGGGCGAAAGCCUGACGGAGCAACGCCGCGUGAGUGAUGAAGGUCUUCGGAUCGUAAAACUCUGUUAUUAGGGAAGAACAUAUGUGUAAGUAACUGUGCACAUCUUGACGGUACCUAAUCAGAAAGCCACGGCUAACUACGUGCCAGCAGCCGCGGUAAUACGUAGGUGGCAAGCGUUAUCCGGAAUUAUUGGGCGUAAAGCGCGCGUAGGCGGUUUUUUAAGUCUGAUGUGAAAGCCCACGGCUCAACCGUGGAGGGUCAUUGGAAACUGGAAAACUUGAGUGCAGAAGAGGAAAGUGGAAUUCCAUGUGUAGCGGUGAAAUGCGCAGAGAUAUGGAGGAACACCAGUGGCGAAGGCGACUUUCUGGUCUGUAACUGACGCUGAUGUGCGAAAGCGUGGGGAUCAAACAGGAUUAGAUACCCUGGUAGUCCACGCCGUAAACGAUGAGUGCUAAGUGUUAGGGGGUUUCCGCCCCUUAGUGCUGCAGCUAACGCAUUAAGCACUCCGCCUGGGGAGUACGACCGCAAGGUUGAAACUCAAAGGAAUUGACGGGGACCCGCACAAGCGGUGGAGCAUGUGGUUUAAUUCGAAGCAACGCGAAGAACCUUACCAAAUCUUGACAUCCUUUGACAACUCUAGAGAUAGAGCCUUCCCCUUCGGGGGACAAAGUGACAGGUG
RNAcentral lists this ribosomal RNA (1060 nucleotides) under Staphylococcus aureus. Its description in RNAcentral is "bacterial SSU rRNA". It matches the Rfam family "Bacterial small subunit ribosomal RNA", at positions 1 to 1040 of the family's 1533-position model. The record is from RNAcentral. Lineage: Bacteria; Bacillati; Bacillota; Bacilli; Caryophanales; Staphylococcaceae.